UUUUUUUUUUUUUUUCAUUUUGUUUUUGGAGACAGGGUAUCAUGUCACGCAGGUUGGAGUGCAAUGGUGUGAUCAUAGCUCACUGCAGCCUCAAACUCCUGGGCUCAAGCAAUCCUCCCACCUUAGCCUCCAAAUGUGUUGAGAUUGCAGGCAUAAGCCACAAGGCUAGGUUGUUUUUAUUAUCAAUAUUAGGAAUGACUGACACUGAAAUGCACAUUUGACCCUUUGAGCUCUCUGAAAGAAAAAGCAAAGGAUAUGAAAAUUUUGUAAAUGUUGUUUGUUUUGACAAUGGAUUUGAGUGUCAGACUUGAAAAAGGACUAUCUGUGUUCUGUUAUGGCAUGUGUAAGUAUUUAGAUUAUGAAUGUAUAUAUACACAUAUAUUUGAUCUCUUUUUUAUUUUAAUUAAGUGGUAUGUUGUUGAAGAUGAAUGCAUCUGAUAUAUCCAUUUAAGUUUGUGUGGAGUUAAUUCAUCUUUACCAUAUGUUAAUCAAGUAAUAAAGGUACUCAGGUUCAGUGGAUGAAAGUCAGCCAGAACAUAUUGCCAGAACCACUAGAAGCUUAAAACUUUACAACAGCUUGACUAAAGAUAGAUAUACUUUACUUUCUUUUAUAAUUAUUUAAUUCAUAUCAAAGUAAUAAAUGUGCAUGAUUCAAAGUCAAAUGAUACAGACAAACUUAUAACAAGAAGUAAUAAACCCAUACUUUGCAUAUCUUUAUCCUCAACUCAUAUACACCAGAUGGAUCUGUUUCUGACUAUUCAAUAUUUCUAAAGAAUAUGCUUGUUGUUAUAUACUCAUUUAAAUGUUUUUAAAAAUGCUUUUUGUUGUCUUGAUAUGACAGAGGUCUUCCAGGUUCCCUCUUCCUCAGUAUUACAGAAAUAUUAAAAAUCAUCCAUAAUCAUCCUGCACAUGACAACAAUGUUCAUAAUCCUUGAUUUCUUUUAUAUCAUGCAUAGAAUGUUACUACUAGAAAAUAUUUUAGAAUACUCACCCUUUGCUUUACCACUCCAAUUAUUUCUCUUCCUUUGUCUCCUCUAUAUCUGCUUUCUUUGCCCUUACUUUAUAAUUAUCAUGUAAAUUUUGUUCACUUCAGAACAUGACUCAUUGUGAAAUGUUUUCCUAUAAUUGUCCACAUUUAAAAUUCUUUAUGUCAUACAAAGAAGAAUGCUUCAAAUAUUGAAUUCAAGCCUAUUUUCUAGGUUUAUUCUACACCAGAUAUUUUCUAAUAUUUUUAUCAUUACAGCUGGUCACAAUUUUACCCCACACAAUCGCUUUCAUAAUAUUCCACUCAUCUAAUCAAAUUCAGAUUCACCUAUCUCCAGACUACCUAUGCAGAUGUUUUUCAGUUCCCUCCCUUUGUCUUUCUUCUGUGCUUGAUCUACUAUAUUGAAAACAAUUUGAAUAAAAUUGUGUUUCUAUAACAAGAAAGUAGAAUAUAACAAUUAUCUUUCUUGUCAUAUCGUCAACUUUUCCUGGAGUUUACUUUCAAGUAAGUUUUAAGAAAUUGUACUUCGAACAUAACUUUGUAAGUCCUUCAUUGUCUGAAAAUGUCUGUCGUAUUUUUAUAUGCUCUUUGAUAUUUUGGCAUGGAAUGUAAUUCUAAGUUUAAAAAUAAUUUUCUCUGGACACACUGGAGGUAAU
RNAcentral lists this long non-coding RNA (1641 nucleotides) under Macaca fascicularis (crab-eating macaque). RNAcentral describes it as "lncRNA (ENSMFAG00000048822.1)". The record is from RNAcentral. Lineage: Eukaryota; Metazoa; Chordata; Mammalia; Primates; Cercopithecidae.